UACGGGGGGAGCAAGCGUUGUUCGGAUUUACUGGGCGUAAAGGGCGCGUAGGCGGGCGCAACAAGUCACUUGUGAAAUCUCCGGGCUUAACUCGGAACGGUCAAGUGAUACUGUUGUGCUAGAGUGCGGAAGGGGCAACUGGAAUUCUCGGUGUAGCGGUGAAAUGCGUAGAUAUCGAGAGGAACACCUGCGGCGAAGGCGGCUACCUGGCCCAAUACUGACACUCAGGUGCGACAGCGUGGGGAGCAAACAGG
RNAcentral lists this ribosomal RNA (254 nucleotides) under uncultured bacterium. RNAcentral's name for it is "partial 16S ribosomal RNA". It matches the Rfam family "Bacterial small subunit ribosomal RNA", at positions 524 to 776 of the family's 1533-position model. The record is from RNAcentral.